CCCAAAAGUCUCAGUGCCAUUUUA
Molecule: microRNA, 24 nt
Filed under: Monodelphis domestica (gray short-tailed opossum)
Lineage: Eukaryota; Metazoa; Chordata; Mammalia; Didelphimorphia; Didelphidae
Description: mdo-miR-7341-5p
Source: miRBase by way of RNAcentral